CUGAAUAUACCGGUUCUCGUUAGAUCACCGAAGUUAAGCAUCAUUGGGCUUACGUUCAGUAUUUUUUUGGGUGGGUGACCACCUAAAAGCGGAAAACUGCGUGCCGU
Caerostris darwini is the source of this 107-nucleotide non-coding RNA. NCBI's taxonomy places the organism in Eukaryota, Metazoa, Arthropoda, Arachnida, Araneae, Araneidae. The record is from the annotation of a GenBank genome assembly.